Long non-coding RNA from Saccostrea cuccullata (small rock oyster), 2193 nucleotides. RefSeq lists it as uncharacterized. Lineage: Eukaryota; Metazoa; Mollusca; Bivalvia; Ostreida; Ostreidae. The record is from RefSeq and is a predicted model, not a curated record. The transcript is spliced from 3 exons.
ACAGGUUCAGGAACAAAGGUCUUGGGAUCCUGAAAUGACAAUAGUUCAGGAAAAGACAGCCCCGGAAAAUCCAAGUCGAGUAGAUCCAAAGGGUCCUCCUGAUGUAGCGACUCCACAGAAGAAACAUCAGAAUAAACAGAUAUUUCCUGGUUUGGGGCACUGAAUAAUAACAGAAGGAGCAGAAGACUCUGUCACCAUGGGCAUUCCUCUGGUGACGAGACAGUUUGUGUUUGGAAAAGAACCUCCGUCCACAGUCAUCACAUUGAUGCAAAGGUUCCUCAGAGGGAGCAGCAAGGGAGAAGAGAUGUUUCAAAACAGGAUCUUGUCUCUGGGCUUGUGAGAGUUCAUCAUUGGACUUGGACUGGAACCAAGAAAGGUUAUCGUCAGACUCCCCUGAAACUAAACUGGCUUCCACUGUAGACAUGGCAUUGACUUGAUGCUGAUCAUCGACUGAUUCGAAGUUCAGACAGGAAGUUUGGGUUGACACAUGAACAACAGCUUCACUGGAAUGAGUGAUUUUGUCUUCUUGUUUCUCGCAAAAUUUACAAGAAAUGCAUGGUCGACGAGACAAACCAUCAGCAUUAGAAUGUUGUUUUCCAGGACGAUGCCGAAUAUCAAAGUUGUAUGUAUCGAGAACUUGGAUCCACCUAGCUAGCUGACCCUCAGGAUUUUUAAAACGUCGUAACCAGCUAAGAGCACCAUGGUCUGUCCUGACAAGAAAUUUUGUUCCAAAUAAAUAGUAAUGAAAGUGCUUAAUCGCUUCAACAACAGCUAAGAGCUCUUUCCUGGUAAUACAAUACUGUCGCUCAUGCUUGGACAGGCACCUGCUAUAAUAUGCAACAACAUGUUCUCCGUCUUCAUGAACCUGGGACAAAACAGCGCCGAUAGCUGUACCACUAGCAUCAGUAUCUAAUAUAAAUGACUUGGACAUAUCUGGGUAGGACAUUAUAGGUUUUGUCAUUAAAGCAGAUUUAAGACGCUGAAAAGCAAUAUCACAUUCUUUGGUCCAUCUGAACAGGGCUGUUUUCUCGGUCAAUUUAUGCAAAACCUUCGCAAUGUCAGCAAAUCCUUUGAUAAAACGGCGAUAGUAUGAAAUGGUUCCAAGAAAGCUUCUUAGGUCUUUCACAUUAGAGGGUAUGGGCCAGUUCUUGACUGCUUCAAUUUUACUGGGACAUGGUUCGAUGCCAUGUUCAGACACUAUAUGUCCUAGAAAUUUGACCUUUCUUUGAAACAAAUUGCAUUUCUUUGGAGAUAUCUUAAGUCCAGCAUGACUUAUACGUUUCAAAACAUCACCAAGACGAUCUAAAUGGGUCUCAAAGGAAUCAGAAAAGAUGAUGAUAUCAUCGAUGUAAACAAGACAAGUCUCCCACUGUAAUCCAGCUAGGACGCUCUCCAUGAGUCGCUCAAAAGUCGCGGGACUAUUACAAAGACCGAAGGGCAUUUUGGUAAACUCGUAUAGUCCGCUAUUUGUUACGAAAGCUGUUUUCUCUUGGUCCAACGGAUCCAUUUUUACCUGCCAGAAACCUGACUGUAAAUCAAGUACAGAAAACCACGAAGAUCCGCGUAAAACAUCUAGGGAGUCAUUGAUUCUGGGCAGAGGAUAAGAGUCUUUUAUUGUGACUUCAUUGACUUUACGGUAAUCGACACAGAAUCGUAUGGAGCCGUCUGAUUUGCGCACAAUGACAAUAGGGGAAGCCCAAGGAGAUUUUGAGGGCUUAAUAACACCAACAUCUAACAUUCGUUUCAAUUCCGUCGAAACUUCCUCUUUUUGGUUUAUGGGUAUACGUCUAGGGGCUUGUUUUAUGGGACGAGCUUGACCCGUAUUUAUUUUAUGUAAAACACAAUCUGUUUCUCCUAAAUCGUCUUUAGAGGUUGCAAACACACUUGAAUAGUUACGCAGAAGAUUGCACACUUUCUUCAAUUCUACAUCGCUUAAAUUGUCUCUACAUGAGUCAAGAACAACUUUGAUAUGGUCAGGAACAGACACGUUGUCCUCUGGUACCUUUAAAAGGUCAAGGUUAUUUAAAGUAUGCGCAUUCAUUUUAUCACAAGAUUGAUUUUGAAAUGAUACUACAUCACUCUCAAGAACCACCUCACACUCUGACGCAACCGUAUUUUUGUAAAUGGUUUGUGGAGUAUCAGAAACAUUGACAACACGCACAGGUAUUUCAGAUUUAUUUGGGUCAAAAACAC